This 517-nucleotide ribosomal RNA is filed under the name uncultured bacterium. Its description in RNAcentral is "bacterial SSU rRNA". It matches the Rfam family "Bacterial small subunit ribosomal RNA", at positions 1013 to 1529 of the family's 1533-position model. The record is from RNAcentral.
CCUUACUUCGGUACAUCCAAGACAGGUGGUGCAUGGUUGUCGUCAGCUCGUGUCGUGAGAUGUUGGGUUAAGUCCCGCAACGAGCGCAACCCUUACCUUCAGUAGCCAGCAGGUAAAGCCGGGCACUCUGGAGAGACUGCCGGGGAUAACCCGGAGGAAGGUGGGGAUGACGUCAAAUCAUCAUGCCCCUUAUGAUUUGGGCUACACACGUGCUACAAUGGCGUAAACAGAGGGAAGCGAGCCCGCGAGGGGGAGCAAAUCCCAAAAAUAACGUCCCAGUUCGGAUUGUAGUCUGCAACCCGACUACAUGAAGCUGGAAUCGCUAGUAAUCGCGGAUCAGAAUGCCGCGGUGAAUACGUUCCCGGGUCUUGUACACACCGCCCGUCACACCAUGGGAGUCGGAAAUGCCCGAAGUCUGUGACCUAACCGCAAGGGAGGAGCAGCCGAAGGCAGGUCGGAUGACUGGGGUGAAGUCGUAACAAGGUAGCCGUAUCGGAAGGUGCGGCUGGAUCACCUC